RNAcentral lists this ribosomal RNA (468 nucleotides) under uncultured bacterium. RNAcentral's name for it is "partial 16S ribosomal RNA". It matches the Rfam family "Bacterial small subunit ribosomal RNA", at positions 28 to 507 of the family's 1533-position model. The record is from RNAcentral.
AACGAACGCUGGCGGCGUGCUUAACACAUGCAAGUCGAACGGAAAGGCCCUGCUUUUUUGGUGUGCUCGAUUGGCGAACGGGUGAGGAACACGUAAGUAACCUGCCCUUGACUUUGGUGUAACUUCACGAAACUGGGGCUAAUACCGUAUAGGAUCUCCUGCUGCAUUGUGGGGGUUGGAAAGUUUCGGCGGUUGGGGAUGGACUCGCGGCUUAUCAGCUUGUUGGUGGGGUAGUGGCUUACCAAGGCUUUGACGGGUAGCCGGCCUGAGAGGGUGACCGGCCACCUUGGGACUGAGAUAGGGCCCAGACGCCUAUGGGAGACAGCAGUGGGGAAUAUUGCACAAUGGGCGGAAGCCUGAUGAAGAAACGCCGCGUGCGGGAUGCCGGCCUGCGGGUUGUAAAACGCUUCCGCCUGUGACGAAGCGUGAGUGACGGUAAUGGGUAAAGAAGCACCGGCUAACUACGUG